RNAcentral lists this ribosomal RNA (496 nucleotides) under uncultured bacterium. RNAcentral describes it as "partial 16S ribosomal RNA". It matches the Rfam family "Bacterial small subunit ribosomal RNA", at positions 28 to 506 of the family's 1533-position model. The record is from RNAcentral.
GAUGAACGCUGGCGGCGUGCCUAAUACAUGCAAGUCGAGCGAACGGACGAGAAGCUUGCUUCUCUGAUGUUAGCGGCGGACGGGUGAGUAACACGUGGAUAACCUACCUAUAAGACUGGGAUAACUUCGGGAAACCGGAGCUAAUACCGGAUAAUAUUUUGAACCGCAUGGUUCAAAAGUGAAAGACGGUCUUGCUGUCACUUAUAGAUGGAUCCGCGCUGCAUUAGCUAGUUGGUAAGGUAACGGCUUACCAAGGCAACGAUGCAUAGCCGACCUGAGAGGGUGAUCGGCCACAAUGGAACUGAGACACGGUCCAGACUCAUACGGGAGGCAGCAGUAGGGAAUCUUCCGCAAUGGUCGAAAGCCUGACGGAGCAACGCCGCGUGAGUGAUGAAGGUCUUCGGAUCGUAAAACUCUGUUAUUAGGGAAGAACAUAUGUGUAAGUAACUGUGCACAUCUUGACGGUACCUAAUCAGAAAACCACGGCUAACUACGU